GCUGAAUACAAAAAAAUAAAUAAAAAGCUCUCCCCGAAACAAUAUGAACGGUGCGGUGACAACACGAAUAGAAGGGCGAGGCGACGCAAAAUGCUGCUGGGAGGCUCGCACGUGCCCGACGGCCUGUUUGGAGAAUGACCAGUUGAUUGGAGAAAUACCAACAUGUCCCUCUAAACCCCAAAUAAUCCCACAACACGACUUUUUUUUAAACCCUUAAUUAAUUUUAAAAUAACAGUUUGCACAGUCGGACCGCACUGUGUGCUCGGCACGAGCCGCCAAGCACCGGAAGUCGCUGAAGGCUGGACAGAAUCUCCAACGAGAUUCAGGUGGCGAAACGAAAAGACGAAAUCAAAUCGAGCAAAAGGUGUUUAGAACGAACAAAAGACUAAAUAGUUUAUCAUAGUUGCCCGGGUGUGUGAUUGUCAGCAUCACGGUGAUUUAACGUGGCCAUGAUCUCAUGUGCAGGGCGAGGCUUUUCCAAGAAAAGUCAAUUUUAAGAAAUGGCACGCGGACAUCAUUAAUUUAAAAAUCGAAAAAUUGCCGGAAUAUAAGAGAAAUAUGUGCGUUUAGCUGCAAAACAUUUUUGUGGCAACAAUGCACAAAAAACAAACAUAUUGUGCAGUAAUUUAUAAAAAUUAAAAAAAUGUAUAUCACAUCAUCUCAUUAUGUUUAUUAUUAUGAGAAGAUUCGAAGAAUAGGACUUCUAAUGAAGACAGAAUAACACCUGAACUACACGAGGAUGAUCACUGACUAUGUAUUAUUCAAUAAAAUAUGGGCAGACCUAAUAAUUAUUAAAAUAUGGAUGACGUUGUACAACUUGUUUAAUUACAACAAUAGACUAAAUAUUUGGAAAUAUGCUCAUUAAAAAAAAAUCUGCACACUGAAUCAUUAAUGCUAUAGAGGAAACCUAUACUGUCUAUUAAUGCACUUAAAUAAUAAUUCAUACUCCCUUGUCCUGAUUCUCCAUAUGCUAGAAGUUGACCUUGUUUCAAUUCAUUUCCAUGUUUGUUUGUUUUCUGAAAAUAAUGUUACGAAAAAUGUGGACAGCUGGUCUAAAAUCUAACUUGAUCCUCCCACAAACCUCAAACCAUUUUUGUUUAUGACAUCUGAACCAUAACCAUUCAGAUCGUUGAGACAGUGGGGUUAAACAAUAAUAAAAUAACUCAGUUUUUUGGCAUAAACCCAUGAUUUAUAUUAUCAAAACAACAUUAAAAAAGGAGUCACCGGAACAAAAGUUGUGUUCCUUUUAAAAGUUUCUUGAAAGAAACAUAAAGACCUAAAAAUUUUUUAAAAAAAGGUUACAAAAACAAACUGGAGGAAAUUAGUUGCCGUGCACCUACACCAGAUCAUGUAGUCGACCUAUACAAGCGUCAAUUAAGGCUGAUCUUUGGUUUAAUGAAAGCCCUGAGCGGUGAAUCUAAACCAGCCAUUAUGAUACCACACUGGUCUGAGAGCCAGCAUGAUGUGGGCAACAUGCUGUGGCAUCAGGCAGGCAAAGUUCAGACUUUCUCUAAAGUCCUAAAUGCUUGUCUGUAAACCGCAGAAUGACUCCCCCUGCCCCAAAUGACACGUUUUAACUCCUGGGCUGGAACAUCACUGCAAACCACGACUGACAUGUUGAAAAGGAUCAGAGAUCCGGAGAUAAAUAUCCUGAACUAAGACAGACCUGGAAGCAAGUAGAGGGGCGAAGGAACUUUAAUCAACAGGUUAACAUUUCAUCAAAUACGUUAUUGCAGACUGAAGUGUAUAAUGCAGCAGAGUACGGACGUGGAGCAAUUUAUUAUGAUGCACGCACUCGUCUGCUAUGGUGGCGCAGCGUGGACGUUAAAUGCUCCUUUCUUGGGGCCCCAAACCAAAAUGUCAAUACUCUGAUCUGUGAAAUAAUAUAUCAUGACAAGUGAUGAUGGCGACAAAAAAGCAGAGCAGUAGAAGCGAGGUCAAAAUAACAAACGGAACGGCAUUCACUAAACUUUAAAGCAGAAAGAAAAGAGCUCUGCAGAAAACUUCAUUGUGCCGUUUACAAAAUGCAAAUCAUUUGAUCUCCAAGUUUUCUCCUCGAGGUGAAACAACUAAGAACCCGAACAAGAUCCCACCAAGAACUAUGUGAGAAGUCUAGAAAAGGCCGAUGUAGCUGCUUGACUGUUAGAGACCUAAAUGUUCGACUCAUGGCGGAGCCAGCCGCACACAAAGGAGCACGACAAAGAUACAAAGUGCAACACACAGUACAAAUAAAAAGAAAAGGCCUCAGUCCUGAAGCACCACUCUCACUGCCCUCUGCUGCACUGAACUAAAUAUAAUAAAUAUACUGCACCAGCAGGACGUGGGACAAAUUCGGUGGAGCUACCCCACCCCCGCCCCCCUCUACAAAUUCAUUCCUCCAGAAAAAAUAAUGCGUCUCCAAAGCGAGAGGAGCAAUAAGCGGCGGGAAGUAAAGGAAAGGAUAAAAACAAGGCUCUUUUUGUCCGCGCCGGCUGAGGUUUGUUAUCCCGACAUUGCCGAGUGUUGUCUGGCAUUACAAAUCUCAGCCGGGGCCGGGAUGGACACAGGAGGGCUCUGCUGGCCCUGCUCACACCGUCUGCAUCCAUGCAAAUAAACCCCAAAUGAGAGAGCAGCUGAGGAGAGAGAGGGAGCUGGAGGGGGGAAACACACAACUCAUUACAAUAAAGAGAAGGAUGGAAGAGUGAAGGAUGGGACGGUCGCAAAGAGGGAAUCAAGAAAUGUAUGUGGCGAGUAGGGAAGGAAGGAAAUGGUUGGUCUGAAGUAGCCGUGUAUAGGGACAGGGAGAAAAAAAAGUGUGUGUGUGUGUGUGUGCGACAGAAAGAAAGAGAAAACGAGUGGGUACAAACCGGCCACUGAGGGGCGAGGAAUGCCCGGCCCUGGCACAGCAGAAUGGGAUGGAGGGUGGAGUAUGUUCACAGCGCGGCUGCCAGCCGAGCACAUUCCCACUGCACAGCCAUGGAGACUUUGUAACCUAAAGAUAUGGAGUUUUCUCAUGAGAGUCUCUGGCCGGUCACUUUAUGAGACGGGAUAAAAAGCCGAGGAAAUUAUCCAAAGUGCCUGAUGCUGAAUUCUAAACAGAAAAGAGAGAGGUGUUCUUUUCUGUUGUGUUCUUUUAUUUCUUCAAAGAAAUGAUGUAUGAGACUUUUAAAAAAUCAGAAAUAAAUAAAGGGUAAUUUACUCCUUUUCUAAUCAAACCUGUUUAGUGGAAGGAAAUUAAAUUAAGAGGAACUCUGGUUUUAUCAAAAUACCUUGAUAACUUUUUCUUAAAGAUAUGUAUACAUUUAAUUUACUUUUAACUGUACAAGAGUUCAUCCACUCGAGGUCGAACCCAUCUAAAAAGAUAAAAUAUUACGUGCGAUACAGAUACAGUCCCUCUUACCGUUAAGCAUCUGGCAUAAAACCAGAUUUCCUUCCAUUUGUCAUAAAAAGUGCACUUAUGAACUCAAAGAAUUAAAUAGUCAAAAAGUAAAUGUGUGGGGGUCAUAAAUGAUCUCAAGCGCUUUGAGAAGGACUGACAAUUACUCUUUUAAAUGUUGGCCGAGUUGAGCAGCAGCAAUAAUAAACGAUUGAUUUAUGCACAUCCCUCGCGUGUUAAUUUUACUUGAGUAUUUUUUAAUUUUUACUAUACUUUGAAGUUCCGCUAAAAUAAUCUUUCGCCUCUUCUGCUCCAUUAUCAGCAGCUUUAGGCUCUCAUUUAAAUAUAAUGAAUUGUUACAGAUUUAACUGCCCGGCAGUUUAUAAACCUCAACCGUCUGCAAUAUGAAAAUGCUUCUUAUAUCUUUGCAUCAGUAAUAUUAAUCCAAAUAAUCUUUAUAUAGUGUAGCACACAAUGAUCUGUAUACUUUGUUAAAGUACAUUUAGCUGAUAAUACUUCAGUGUAUAGGAGAAUUGUUACUCUAGUGUUAGAGUGCUGCUUUGAGCCGUCACAGAGAGACGUUUGUCUUUCUGAAAACAGACCUCACUUUUCCAGGAAUUCUUCUGAGGCGAGAGUCGUGUUGGUGUCUUUGUGGCUGAGAUGGAGCGGUGGUUUAUCAAUGGCUGACAUAAGGCACACUCACACACAUGCACGCACGCACACACACACACACACAUACACGCUUGAAUUGUUAAAGCACAAGCUCACUUAUGAAUCUGCAAGAAAAAGUGGAAGACAAACAGUCUGUCGUGAUUGUUAUUAUGAUUAAAUAUGAAAAUGUGAUGUUUUGAUAUUAAAAGGUAUUUCAGUCCUGUUUGAUUUUUCAAAAAAAUUGCUACUUUUUAGAAUUCUGUGCAUUCAUUUGUUUAUACAAUGGAGAAAAACUGCGAAACAGUUUUUCCCCCAGCCAUCUCGCCCCAGACACCCAGUUUGUAAUACUGCCACACAUCUCAAUCAUCAUCGAUAGAUUAAGACUCAAACAGACAUAUUUUUUAAUUGUUUUGUAUUUUCAUAUAAAACAAUUACCACUUGAUUCACCUAUUUGCUCAAACACAGAUGCAGAAACAUUUGCUGGUUUCAGCUUCUCCAAUAUGACGAUUUGCAGAUUUAUUUUUCUUUCUCACAAAGUAAACUGAAUAUAUUUUGGUUUUGUAUUGUUAGUAAAACAAAAUAAAAAAGAUUUGUUUGGAUCCUG
Molecule: long non-coding RNA, 4610 nt
Organism: Pseudoliparis swirei
Lineage: Eukaryota; Metazoa; Chordata; Actinopteri; Perciformes; Liparidae
Exons: 2
Source: RefSeq, a predicted model, not a curated record